GGAGGGGUGGCAGAGUGGUCGAAUGCGUCGGUCUUGAAAACCGAAGUGCCGCAAGGUACCGGGGGUUCGAAUCCCUCCCCCUCCGCCC
RNAcentral lists this transfer RNA (88 nucleotides) under Bacteroidota bacterium. RNAcentral describes it as "Bacteroidetes bacterium tRNA-Ser". It matches the Rfam family "tRNA". From Rfam's summary of the family: Transfer RNA (tRNA) molecules are approximately 80 nucleotides in length. Their secondary structure includes four short double-helical elements and three loops (D, anti-codon, and T loops). Further hydrogen bonds mediate the characteristic L-shaped molecular structure. tRNAs have two regions of fundamental functional importance: the anti-codon, which is responsible for specific mRNA codon recognition, and the 3' end, to which the tRNAs corresponding amino acid is attached (by aminoacyl-tRNA synthetases). tRNAs cope with the degeneracy of the genetic code in two manners: having more than one tRNA (with a specific anti-codon) for a particular amino acid; and 'wobble' base-pairing, i.e. permitting non-standard base-pairing at the 3rd anti-codon position. The record is from RNAcentral. Lineage: Bacteria; Pseudomonadati; Bacteroidota.